UUCGACUUGUUUCAUUGAUCAGUGCAUUUUGAUGCACCUUCUUCUACUAUUGUACUUAGGCAAAUCUAUAAUUUAUUAUAUUAUUUUUACUAUUUUAAGUUUAUUUUUGCCUUUAUUUUAUUUAAGCAAACGUUUAAGUUUAUUUUUGUCUUUAUUUUAUUUUUGUACUUUAUUUUCAACAUAAAUAGUUAUUUGAUACCUUAUCACUAUACAGAUCAU
Molecule: long non-coding RNA, 219 nt
Filed under: Lathyrus oleraceus (garden pea)
Lineage: Eukaryota; Viridiplantae; Streptophyta; Magnoliopsida; Fabales; Fabaceae
Description: Pisum sativum (pea) long non-coding RNA (PSAT_LNC030590)
Source: RNAcentral